AAUCCUGCAAAACAGGCCGAUUAACUGAGUGUGAACUGAGACCUCAGUGACCAGUUGAAUUUAUAAUAAUGUAUUUUACUCCUCAUGGGUUUGGGCUAGUAAGAAACAGACUUCUUCAGUAUCUGCUGAUGUCUUCAUUAAUCAACAAAUAUGAGUCUGAGAGAGAGAAUAAUGAAACUUUGUGGUUCUGUGGAAGAAAAUCUAAGGCAAUCACCAUUUGCAUUAUCCGUUAUUCCAUAUGUUGUUGCUUUGUAUGGAAUUUGUUUCACCUCUCACUGUGUAUUGGCUGACUGUGAAACAAAUUCAAGUAACUAGGAACAACUGGGUCAUCGUAUAUGACCUGCAGUAUAUUCUGGUUUUGGAAACUUUACAGAUUCAGGAGCAAUCCAACAGAAACCUGUCUCUGGGAUUCUUAGAAGCUUUAUGCAAGCGAGAAGCAAACGCAUAUUGUCCUCCUCUGGCUUUUCUGAGCUCUGCUCAGAGCUGUCCAUUUGCUGGGUGGACUCUGCUGAGUUGAACUGGCUGCAGAAGUAGCAACAAGCUGAGUUUGCAGCAGUGUUUGAUCAGGAUAGUGGUGAUGUUAGUAUGAGAAAGGAGCCACUGUGCAGGUCCUGUUUUGUUCUAUAGGGUUUAUAAUACCUCAGCACAAUGGUUCAGGGUGCACAAGUGACUGCAAGAGACUGUAAUGAAUAUGAAUAUUCUCAGAAGCAGAAACUGUCCUCUCGCAGUUAAUAAUAAGCAAUAAAGUGUGAUUUUUAACAGUAUUCUGGGAGUAAGCAUGGGAAUUCUGGGAAUAUACCUUGCUUAUGGUCUCUUGUUUUUCUAAGGAUAGACACCCCUUUGCAUGCAUCAAUAUUGCGCUUGCUAUCAGGGAAAGGUGAAAGAUGAGUUAUCAAUGCAACUCAGUUGUUUGAAGCCUUCAGUAAAGCAGAGAUUACUGUACCUAAAUACAAUGCUAUAAGAAAAAGCCUUCUAGCUUACUUGCUAGAAGUCAUGAUUUUAUAUGUUACAGCAUUGAAGAGGAAGGUUCAUUGCUGCCAGUGUCACUGUGCCUCUGUGAGGUGAAAAAAACAAGGACAUGUCUCAAUAGGAUAAAGACAUUCAGUGAGAUUCUUUUUCAUUUCUUUUUCUGAUGCAAACUCAUAACUGAUCUUUAUGCUGAGUUUGUCCUAUGCACGUGGAUUGUUUGUGCUUUAGGUUUUCUGUACCUCUGCAGACUGCGAGGCGUAUAUUACAUCUGUUCAGUUGUGUACCUACGUGGAUCAUAUUCAACAUGUAUUCCCUGUGGACAGCACAAGUACACAAAUGUACAUAUUUGCUUGGGAUUUUUGAGCUACUGCUCUGACUAGGAUAUGGUGUAUUAGAAAUCCUGGGCAAAUGCCUGAAGCUAUUGUUUAUCUGCCCAGACAACGUUUAUGUGUCUUAGAAAAAAGUCACAUCUAUGGAACUGCAGACUUAGGUUACCCCUGAGUAUUAGAAAUGACAUUAUUGCCUAAGACACCUACUAGUAGUAAAAUGAAUCUGACCUGUUGCUUUGCAAUAUGAGCCCAGUUCUUACAUGCAUGAAAAAAAGCAAGCAGAAGGUGGCAGUGCUGCUGUAUGUAGGUUUUUUUUCUACACUGCAAAACAAGUAACUUCAUUUGAGCUAGAGAGAUGAGAUUAGAGGUCACUCUUCCAGCUAAUGGAAGCUCAGGAAUGCAUCAUUUUAAGAAACAACUUAAAUCUGAUCUUCAUGAAAUUAGACAUCAAUGCUACCUGUACUUUUCACUCUGUCUCAUUGGAAAAUUGUUUCAACUGCAAAGUUAAUAUUCAAAAUUGAAUUAUUCAGAAAUCAGUUGUUUUAUACUCAUCUGUAACUAACCAUGAUGUGCUUUAUUACAGACGUACUGGAAAACCUGAACACCAAGACUAUAAUGAUUGAGCAGCAUUUUCUAACCCAGCAGAAAUGGUUGUACCUGUGGGUCUAUCAGCUAGUGGUGCAGAAAGAAAACAUGCUUCUUACUAACAGGGAAGAUUUCUGUGCUGUGGCUUCAGAUCUGAAAGAGGUACUGUAGCAAGCCAGCCCUCAGGAAGCUUUUUGGAAAAUGGAAUUAUACACAUAUUAUGAGGACUCAAAACAAAAUUCCCUUUACAUAAUGAGGUAAAAUUUCCUUUUUCUAUUCCGUAACUCAUAGCAUCAGUACUUUUGGUGCACUUCAGUGCCAGUUACCCCUUUUUCCUAGUAAAAUAUUCAGACGUAUAGUUCUAAAUUUCUCUUUAAAGAUACCGGACCUCUAUACUAACCAUAAAGCCUCCCUACUCUCACUUUAUUAUAAAACUGUUGCUGAUGUCAUUUCUCACUCUCUAGACAAUAUUUGAACUAAACAACAUUACUCAGGACCUCUUGUUGGAUAUUUGGUAUUCUUUUAAAAAGGUUUAGUGAAGAGACGUUUACAAAAAAAGAGAACAAAGUUUCUGAAGCUGUUGAAUAGGAAAAAACACAACAACCAGACAUUGCUCUACUGUAUUCUUCUGAAAAAGAUCCAAGAUCCCUCUGUCCUUUCAGUGGUGCCGUAAUGCUUUACUCACAGUCUGUGUCUAGAAAUCAUGCUCUUUAGAGAGGGGAAAAAAAGGACAGUAGGAGCUCGAUUUUCCUACCAGCACAAAAAAAUUGCUCUCUGUUUGUUUGCUCUGCAUAGUGACUACUCAGUUACAAUAAAGUUUUGUCAGGUGUGCCUUUGGAA
Long non-coding RNA from Numida meleagris (helmeted guineafowl), 2723 nucleotides. RefSeq lists it as uncharacterized. The record is from RefSeq and is a predicted model, not a curated record. Lineage: Eukaryota; Metazoa; Chordata; Aves; Galliformes; Numididae. The transcript has 2 exons.